RNAcentral lists this ribosomal RNA (292 nucleotides) under uncultured bacterium. RNAcentral describes it as "partial 16S ribosomal RNA". It matches the Rfam family "Bacterial small subunit ribosomal RNA", at positions 505 to 796 of the family's 1533-position model. The record is from RNAcentral.
GUGCCAGCCGCCGCGGUAAUACGGAGGGUGCAAGCGUUGUCCGGAUUUAUUGGGUUUAAAGGGUGCGUAGGCGGCUUAUUAAGUCAGGGGUGAAAGACUAUUGCUUAACAAUGGCAGUGCCUUUGAUACUGAUAGGCUUGAGUACAUUUGAGGCAGAUGGAACGGGUGGUGUAGCGGUGAAAUGCAUAGAUACCAUCCAGAACACCGAUUGCGAAGGCAGUCUGCUAAACUGUAACUGACGCUGAGGCACGAAAGCGUGGGGAUCGAACAGGAUUAGAUACCCUAGUAGUCC